CUCAUGGUGCCUGCGGAACCGGCGACACGACGCGGCCUGCGGUCAGAUGGCGGCUGUUCCCCUGCUCCAACCUCCCGGCGCCAGAGCUACCCAGCACUCCGCGUAGCUUCCGACUGUCUGCGGAGCAGCUAGCGCGGCCUCGGGGAAUUGGCUGGGAAGCCCCGCCCCUGCCCGCCCCUUAAAGCGGAACCUCCCGCACCGCUCCGGACAGCUCGUGCGCACGGCGAGUCAGGAACAACGUCGGGGGCACGCCUCCCAGGCCCUGCGCGAGCCAAUUCCCAAACGUAAGUUCCUUUGAGCCGGACACUGAGAAGGCUGAGCUCAGGGCCACCUUUUGGUGUCCGGCGUCUGUGAUUUGUCCCACCCCGGGUCCCGCUGGUCUCCCCCUCCAACGGGAAGUAGGCGGGGAGGGGGCAUCCUCCAUUGAUGGGCUGCCGGGACGCUCUUCGCCCACUCCGAAGGCUAGCGACUGCUCCGGACACCAUCUUCCAUCUGCCUCUGCACCACGGCCCAGGCUACAGCCUAAGCUUCCGAACUUCGCGCCGCCACUUGCACUCUCAAAAGCCGGCCAAACUCACCUCCCGCCCUUUCCCCCACCAGGCCUAGUCAUCUCAGGCUUCUGGGACUUAGCUAGACCUCCGCUUUCUUUCAGGGCUUACUCCCACUAGUCCUUCAAGACUCAUCUUCUUAGUUUAGCUCACUUAAUUCAUCAUGCAGGAGCUAUUUAUUGAGCACCCACUACAGUACUUGGCUUUAUUAACUAUUGUUAUAAAAUAAUCUCAUCUAGUCUUCGCCAUCAAGUUUUCAAAUGCAUCUGUUUGGAGAGGAGAACUAAGGCUGACCCAACCCCCAGUGGCUGGCGCCAGGAUGUUGGGCAGCUAGGAUUCUGACAUCCGGAGACUAAUGGGCAACCUCCAGACUGUAGCAAACAUUCCAAGGUUGGGUCUGUUAGACGCAUUCACUGGUUUCCUACAAUAGACCAGAAGAUGCCAUGGCCAGGCUCUUCCACACUUUGCAGGGCCUCCCACACAUCAUCCUGGUCUCCCCAUGGUGCCUGGGUUUCCUUACCUCCCCAUCACCUUACCAUACUAGGCCCUGGAGGCAACUGCAGAGACCCUGAAGCCCACCCAACCUCCCUCCACAGAGGUCCCUGGAUUGAGGAUCCCUGGAUGGACUGCACUGAAAUCUGGAGAGGCUAUUUAAGAAGGCUUUUCCUUAUUCAUUACACUGAACAGAGAAGAUGCGGACUACAGAGAAAACUAAAGCUCAAAAGUUUAAGGAAAACGGAUCUUACAGCAAGUUUGGAACGGGGAUUCCCUUGUCAUCCUCAAAUUAGAAAGCAGUGUUAGAACUGAACUGCCAUACAGCAGGUUUCUUUAAAUAGUAAUACCACAUCAGUAAUUUACAGAACAGUUUUACAUGUAAUUAACAUUUGAUUGGGGGAAAAAUUUGAAACCUAAAUGUUUUCUCUAUAUGUGGAAAAUAAAAAAUUCUGUACAGAAAAAUC
Molecule: non-coding RNA, 1507 nt
Organism: Manis javanica (Malayan pangolin)
Lineage: Eukaryota; Metazoa; Chordata; Mammalia; Pholidota; Manidae
Source: RefSeq, a predicted model, not a curated record